This is a long non-coding RNA of Lolium perenne, 1732 nucleotides long. RefSeq lists it as uncharacterized. The record is from RefSeq and is a predicted model, not a curated record. Lineage: Eukaryota; Viridiplantae; Streptophyta; Magnoliopsida; Poales; Poaceae.
CUCUCUCAUCCGCUCGUCUCCCAUCUCUGGCUGUAUCUCAUCUCUCUCACACUCUCUGGAUAAGAGCGACGGAGGAGAGCCCGGCGACGGCGGCGAGCUCCGUGAUGGAGGAGAGGGGGCCGCGUCGGAGCUCUGCCCAGCGACGGAGGAGUGGCCAUGGCCCUUCCGGCGAGCUCCGCGAGGCGAGCUCUGUGAUGGAGGGAGGGGGCGGCGUCGGAGCUCUGCCCAGCGACGGAGGAGUGGCCAUGGCCCUUCCGGCGAGCUCCGCGAGGCAGGGGAGGGGGGCGCGUCGGAGGGUAGGGCGACGGAGGGGAGGGGACAGCGACAGGCCGAAGCGGCUGAGGCGACGCCCACGGAGGUCUCCCGUCGAUCUCCGCGACGGAGGGCAGCGCGGGGUGUGGAGGGGACGGUGGAGGCGCCCGGCGUCCACGGAGGUCUUUUAGUUUCACUCAAGCUCUCUUCCACGGUUGGACAUGACCAGCGAGGGGAGGAGCGGUAGCGACGAUUUUUGGGUUUUGGCUACCAUAUCCUGUAAGUAUGUCCUCUCUCGCUGAAGCUUUUCAUGGCUAGCACGCGGUACUGCAUACGUUUUUUCAGUAUUCUUUGCUGCUAUGUUUCUAGGAUCAUAUCACCAUCAAAAUGCAUUCAUAUUCAACAGUUUGAGCUAUGUGAAAUUCCUCCCUGAUCAGCAUGAUACGGCAGAAGUUGUGCCAAUUAUGAGAUGAUCUUCUUAUGAGGUUGAUUACAAACAUCACUCUACUAAUUUUAUGACUCCUAAAAUUGUGAAAAAAUCUUUUAGUUUCACUCAAGCUCUCUUCCACGGUUUAAGUAUGUCCUCUCUAAUGCCUUGAGCUUUGGCAGGGAAUGGAGAUCCUUUUAAGGUUCAGAUUGUUGGACAUUCCUCUGUGAAAUCUGUUAUGUGAAAUCUGUUAUGCGAAUGGAUCUGAAUGGAAUGGUCUUGAGCUUAGCGAGCGCCUAGAUGUCGAUGUAUGACCAAGGGAAGGAAGGCAGAAGAACAGAGGUAAGAAGAGAGCGAGAAGAGGAAAAGAGACAUUGUGCCUAACUGACGUGAUGUGCCGAGGCCGGAGCGGUGGCACACGGUAAGUCGAGAAACAUGUGUGUACAUGCUUGUGGUAGAAAUUCCGAAUUGUACCACAUCAAGCCUGGGUGUGUAUCACCGGAAGGAUUGGUCCUCCUCUUAAAUCAAGAGGAUGUAGAUGAAAUGGUGAGAGCCCAUCAAGAUACAAAAAAGUGUGAUUUGUACAUUAUGGCAAAUCAUCAUUUUCGAGGUGAUGGUUACGAUGAGAGUGACGAGGAUGGUGAUGAUGGGUCGAAUGAUGAAGCCCCUUUUGGUGCCUACCUCGAUGUUGGUCAGAGUGGAAAGGACGAAGAUAGAUCAUCACCAUGAACAAAUAUUAUGUGUGCUUUUCAUUUAAAAUGAUGAAACUCCUUUUGGGUUGAAUUAUAGUGUGCUUACCAUUAACGAAUACCGGUUGUCGUUGAUGAUUAUGUGUUUUUUAAAUUAUGAUAUUUCGGUUCUAGAUUAUAAAUGAAUUAUUUUUGUAAUGUCCGAAAGUCUUUUUGGCUUUCGGUUAGGUGCCACUUUGGCCGUUAGAAGAGCAAAUUUGCUCCUCUAAAGGUUUUUUUGCCUUUGGGUUACAGAUGCUCUUAUGUGAAGAGAAGACUCGAAUAGUCAAUUUAUUUUGCAUGAAAUAGUCAAUUUAUUUCACUA